CUUUCCUUGAUGACGACUGGCGCACGGGUGAGUAACGCGUAUCCAACCUUCCCAUAACUACGGGAUAACCCGUUGAAAGACGGCCUAAUACCGUAUGAUAUCGUUUGCUGACAUCAAAUAACGAUUAAAGGUUUAGCGGUUAUGGAUGGGGAUGCGUCUGAUUAGCUUGUUGGCGGGGUAACGGCCCACCAAGGCAACGAUCAGUAGGGGUUCUGAGAGGAAGGUCCCCCACAUUGGAACUGAGACACGGUCAAACUCCUACGGGAGGCAGCAAAC
This 276-nucleotide ribosomal RNA is filed under the name uncultured Prevotella sp. RNAcentral's name for it is "partial 16S ribosomal RNA". It matches the Rfam family "Bacterial small subunit ribosomal RNA", at positions 79 to 353 of the family's 1533-position model. The record is from RNAcentral. Lineage: Bacteria; Pseudomonadati; Bacteroidota; Bacteroidia; Bacteroidales; Prevotellaceae.